UACGUAGGGUGCAAGCGUUAAUCGGAAUUACUGGGCGUAAAGCGUGCGCAGGCGGUCGUGCAAGACAGAUGUGAAAUCCCCGGGCUCAACUUGGGAACUGCAUUUGUGACUGCACGGCUGGAGUGCGGCAGAGGGGGAUGGAAUUCCGCGUGUAGCAGGGAAAUGCGUAGAUAUGCGGAGGAACACCGAUGGCGAAGGCAAUCCCCUGGGCCUGCACUGUAGCUCAUGGACGAAAGCGUGGGGAGCAAACCGG
RNAcentral lists this ribosomal RNA (253 nucleotides) under uncultured bacterium. RNAcentral's name for it is "partial 16S ribosomal RNA". It matches the Rfam family "Bacterial small subunit ribosomal RNA", at positions 524 to 776 of the family's 1533-position model. The record is from RNAcentral.